UAGGCGGUCAGCACCACGCCGCCCGAGUCCUCCACCUCCAUCGUCAGCCGCGCAUGUCUCGGCGCCGGCCCCAGAACAAAGACCGGGACCAGCAUGGACCGGCGCGCCGGGAGGCUGUCAGCAGCUGGGCGGCGCGGCCCGAGCCCUCUUCCAACUGGAGGCUUAUCCUGUGGCUGGGAACAUUUCCUGCCUGGCUGCGAGGAGUGAGACUAAGAAACCAUACCUCAGGCUGAGGAGAGAGGCCGGGUUUGAUAUGUGUGCUCUAGGGAAGAAAAGGAGAAAAUGUGACACUCUCUCAUUUAAAGCAUCCACAUCAAAAAUUGAAGAACUGGAUUACAUUGCUGUUUACUUAGUCAAGUUACAAUAAACUUGAUUUCCUUUUGGGAAAAAAAAAAAAA
RNAcentral lists this long non-coding RNA (398 nucleotides) under Homo sapiens (human). Its description in RNAcentral is "ARHGAP28 antisense RNA 1 (ARHGAP28-AS1)". Lineage: Eukaryota; Metazoa; Chordata; Mammalia; Primates; Hominidae. The record is from RNAcentral.